RNAcentral lists this ribosomal RNA (253 nucleotides) under uncultured bacterium. RNAcentral describes it as "partial 16S ribosomal RNA". It matches the Rfam family "Bacterial small subunit ribosomal RNA", at positions 524 to 776 of the family's 1533-position model. The record is from RNAcentral.
UACAGAGGUCCCAAGCGUUGUUCGGAUUCACUGGGCGUAAAGGGUGCGUAGGCGGUCGGGUAAGUCUGAUGUGAAAUCUCACAGCUUAACUGUGAAACUGCAUUGGAUACUAUUCGGCUAGAGAGUUGGAGGGGGGACUGGAAUUCUUGGUGUAGCAGUGAAAUGCGUAGAUAUCAAGUGGAACACCAGUGGCGAAGGCGAGUCUCUGGACAUUUCCUGACGCUGAGGCACGAAAGCCAGGGGAGCAAACGGG